ACUAAAUAGAUACCCGGGUAGUCCACGCCCUAAACGAUGUCUACUAGUUGUUGGUGGAGUAAAAUCCAUGAGUAAACGCAGCUAAACGCGUGAAGUAGACCGCCUGGGGAGUACGGUCGCAAGAUUAAAACUCAAAGGAAUUGACGGGGGCCCGCACAAGCGGUGGAUUAUGUGGAUUAAUUCGAUGCAACGCGAAAAACCUUACCUGGCCUUGACAUGCCACUAACGAAGCAGAGAUGCAUUAGGUGCCCGUAAGGGAAAGUGGACACAGGUGCUGCAUGGCUGUCGUCAGCUUGUGUCGUGAGAUGUUGGGUUAAGUCCCGCAACGAGCGCAACCCUUGCCAUUAAUUGCCAUCAUUUAGUUGGGCACUUUAAUGGGACUGCCGGUGACAAACCGGAGGAAGGUGGGGAUGACGUCAAGUCCUCAUGGCCCUUAUGGCCAGGGCUUCACACGUAAUACAAUGGUCGGUACAGAGAGUUGCCAACCCGCGAGGGGAGCUAAUCUCAGAAAGCCGAUCGUAGUCCGGAUUGUUCUCUGCAAC
This 542-nucleotide ribosomal RNA is filed under the name uncultured bacterium. RNAcentral describes it as "bacterial SSU rRNA". It matches the Rfam family "Bacterial small subunit ribosomal RNA", at positions 772 to 1311 of the family's 1533-position model. The record is from RNAcentral.